This 31-nucleotide small RNA is filed under the name Bombyx mori (domestic silkworm). RNAcentral's name for it is "ovarian small RNA-21066". The record is from RNAcentral. Lineage: Eukaryota; Metazoa; Arthropoda; Insecta; Lepidoptera; Bombycidae.
UACGCGAGCAGUGCGCGCAUUUUGCACGCCA